RNAcentral lists this ribosomal RNA (494 nucleotides) under uncultured bacterium. Its description in RNAcentral is "partial 16S ribosomal RNA". It matches the Rfam family "Bacterial small subunit ribosomal RNA", at positions 28 to 507 of the family's 1533-position model. The record is from RNAcentral.
GACGAACGCUGGCGGCGUGCUUAACACAUGCAAGUCGAACGGUGAAGCGCCUUCCUUUUUGGUGGGUGUGGAUGAGUGGCGAACGGGUGAGUAACACGUGAGUAACCUGCCCCCUUCUUCUGGAUAACCGCAUGAAAGUGUGGCUAAUACGGGAUAUUCUGGGUCUGUCGCAUGAUGGGUCUGGGAAAGAUAUUGUUUCGGUGGGGGAUGGGCUCGCGGCCUAUCAGCUUGUUGGUGGGGUGAUGGCCUACCAAGGCGGUGACGGGUAGCCGGCCUGAGAGGGUGGACGGCCACACUGGGACUGAGGCCCGGCCCAGACUCCUACGGGAGGCAGCAUUGGGGAAUAUUGCACAAUGGGCGCAAGCCUGAUGCAGCGACGCCGCGUGAGGGAUGGAGGCCUUCGGGUUGUGAACCUCUUUCGCCAGUGAAGCAGGCCUGCCUCGUUUGUGGGUGGGUUGACGGUAGCUGGAUAAGAAGCGCCGGCUAACUACGUG